Molecule: ribosomal RNA, 508 nt
Filed under: uncultured Glomeromycotina
Lineage: Eukaryota; Fungi; Glomeromycota
Description: SSU rRNA
Rfam family: Eukaryotic small subunit ribosomal RNA
Source: RNAcentral
AGCAGCCGCGGUAAUUCCAGCUCCAAUAGCGUAUAUUAAAGUUGUUGCAGUUAAAAAGCUCGUAGUUGAAUUUCGGGAUCAGCAGGUUGGUCGUGCCUCUGGUAUGCACUGGUUUCGCUGAUUCCUCCUUUCUGAAGAACUGUAAUGUCAUUAAUUUGGUGUUGCAGGGAAACAGGACUGUUACUUUGAAAAAAUUAGAGUGUUUAAAGCAGGCUAACGCUUGAAUACAUUAGCAUGGAAUAAUGAAAUAGGACGUUUGAUCCUAUUUUGUUGGUUUCUAGGAUUGACGUAAUGAUUAAUAGGGAUAGUUGGGGGCAUUAGUAUUCAAUUGUCAGAGGUGAAGUUCUUGGAUUUAUUGAAGACUAACUACUGCGAAAGCAUUUGCCAAGGAUGUUUUCAUUAAUCAAGAACGAAAGUUAGGGGAUCGAAGACGAUCAGAUACCGUCGUAGUCUUAACCAUAAACUAUGCCGACUAGGGAUCGGAUGAUGUUAAUUUUUUAAUGACUCA